CAGGUUGAAGGUUGGGUAACACUAACUGGAGGACCGAACCGACUAAUGUUGAAAAAUUAGCGGAUGACUUGUGGCUGGGGGUGAAAGGCCAAUCAAACCGGGAGAUAGCUGGUUCUCCCCGAAAGCUAUUUAGGUAGCGCCUCGUGAAUUCAUCUCCGGGGGUAGAGCACUGUUUCGGCAAGGGGGUCAUCCCGACUUACCAACCCGAUGCAAACUGCGAAUACCGGAGAAUGUUAUCACGGGAGACACACGGCGGGUGCUAACGUCCGUCGUGAAGAGGGAAACAACCCAGACCGCCAGCUAAGGUCCCAAAGUCAUGGUUAAGUGGGAAACGAUGUGGGAAGGCCCAGACAGCCAGGAUGUUGGCUUAGAAGCAGCCAUCAUUUAAAGAAAGCGUAAUAGCUCACUGGUCGAGUCGGCCUGCGCGGAAGAUGUAACGGGGCUAAACCAUGCACCGAAGCUGCGGCAGCGACGCUGAUGCGUUGUUGGGUAGGGGAGCGUUCUGUAAGCCUGCGAAGGUGUGCUGUGAGGCAUGCUGGAGGUAUCAGAAGUGCGAAUGCUGACAUAAGUAACGAUAAAGCGGGUGAAAAGCCCGCUCGCCGGAAGACCAAGGGUUCCUGUCCAACGUUAAUCGGGGCAGGGUGAGUCGACCCCUAAGGCGAGGCCGAAAGGCGUAGUCGAUGGGAAACAGGUUAAUAUUCCUGUACUUGGUGUUACUGCGAAGGGGGGACGGAGAAGGCUAUGUUGGCCGGGCGACGGUUGUCCCGGUUUAAGCGUGUAGGCUGGUUUUCCAGGCAAAUCCGGAAAAUCAAGGCUGAGGCGUGAUGACGAGGCACUACGGUGCUGAAGCAACAAAUGCCCUGCUUCCAGGAAAAGCCUCUAAGCAUCAGGUAACAUCAAAUCGUACCCCAAACCGACACAGGUGGUCAGGUAGAGAAUACCAAGGCGCUUGAGAGAACUCGGGUGAAGGAACUAGGCAAAAUGGUGCCGUAACUUCGGGAGAAGGCACGCUGAUAUGUAGGUGAAGUCCCUCGCGGAUGGAGCUGAAAUCAGUCGAAGAUACCAGCUGGCUGCAACUGUUUAUUAAAAACACAGCACUGUGCAAACACGAAAGUGGACGUAUACGGUGUGACGCCUGCCCGGUGCCGGAAGGUUAAUUGAUGGGGUUAGCCGCAAGGCGAAGCUCUUGAUCGAAGCCCCGGUAAACGGCGGCCGUAACUAUAACGGUCCUAAGGUAGCGAAAUUCCUUGUCGGGUAAGUUCCGACCUGCACGAAUGGCGUAAUGAUGGCCAGGCUGUCUCCACCCGAGACUCAGUGAAAUUGAACUCGCUGUGAAGAUGCAGUGUACCCGCGGCAAGACGGAAAGACCCCGUGAACCUUUACUAUAGCUUGACACUGAACAUUGAGCCUUGAUG
RNAcentral lists this ribosomal RNA (1415 nucleotides) under Escherichia coli. Its description in RNAcentral is "partial 23S ribosomal RNA". It matches the Rfam family "Bacterial large subunit ribosomal RNA", at positions 741 to 2136 of the family's 2925-position model. The record is from RNAcentral. Lineage: Bacteria; Pseudomonadati; Pseudomonadota; Gammaproteobacteria; Enterobacterales; Enterobacteriaceae.